This 753-nucleotide ribosomal RNA is filed under the name uncultured archaeon. RNAcentral's name for it is "bacterial SSU rRNA". It matches the Rfam family "Archaeal small subunit ribosomal RNA", at positions 102 to 859 of the family's 1478-position model. The record is from RNAcentral.
AGACAACUUACCCUUGGGACCGGGAUAACCCUUGGGAAACUAGGGCUAAUACCGGAUAGUGCAUCGAUUGCUGGAAUGCACGAUGUACGAAAGCUGAGGCGCCCAAGGAUAGGUCUGUGGCCGAUUAGGUUGUUGUUGAUGUAACGGAUCAACAAGCCUACGAUCGGUACGGGUUGUGAGAGCAAUAGCCCGGAGAUGGGUUCUGAGAGAAGAACCCAGGUCCUACGGGACGCAUCAGGCGCGAAAACUUUACAAUGUGCGAAAGCACGAUAAGGGAACUCUGAGUGCCUCCUAAGGAGGCUGUUCAGAUGUUUAAAAAGCAUCUGGAGGAAGGGCUGGGCAAGACCGGUGCCAGCCGCCGCGGUAACACCGGCAGCCCAAGUGGUGGUCACGCUUACUGGGUCUAAAGCGUCCGUAGCCGGCUAGGUAAGUUCCUUGGGAAAUUUGAUCGCUUAACGAUUAAGCUUCCUGGGAAUACUAUCUGGCUUGGGACCGGGAGAGGUCAGAGGUACCUCAAGGGUAGGGGUGAAAUCCGUUAAUCCUUGGGGGACCACCAGUAGCGAAGGCGUCUGACCAGACCGGAUCCGACGGUGAGGGACGAAGGCUAGGGGAGCGAACCGGAUUAGAUACCCGGGUAGUCCUAGCUGUAAACGAUGCGGGCUAGGUGUUGGUAUUACUGCGAGUGAUGCCAGUGCCGAAGGGAAGCCGUUAAGCCCGCCAUCUGGGGAGUACGGUCGCAAGGCUGAAACUUAA